Molecule: long non-coding RNA, 3191 nt
Organism: Carassius auratus (goldfish)
Lineage: Eukaryota; Metazoa; Chordata; Actinopteri; Cypriniformes; Cyprinidae
Exons: 16
Source: RefSeq, a predicted model, not a curated record
GACGUCAAUUAAACCGCUUGGGAACAAACUGUGACUUGAUACAUUUAACUUACCUCAGGAAAGUCAGUUAUUUUUCAGUUGAAAUCCUGAGCUAAAAUGUACUUUUCCAUAGCUCGUUAGUUAUAAACCUUUGCUAAAAUCGUAAAUAUAUUGUUAAAUAUUGUGGUCAGCGUGUGGACAAAUUUCAGUUGACCAUUACAAACACAUUAUUUGGAGAAACUUUGGAGAAACUCAAGCUCAUAUUCUUGACGUCAACAGGAAAUUGCAUCUCUCACCGAGACUACUCUCCAUCCACCCACGUGAUUUAAUUUCCUUAAUAUGUGUUUUGUAAAAUUGGAUACGGUGAAUGACUUCAAUUUAAUCUAAAUGGUAAAAGCAUUAUGGGCGUUUUAAGAGGAUCUCCGCUCAACGAAUGGGCCAGGAUUCGAGGUGCGGGUGGAUGGAUGCUCUGAUGGAUUUUUAAUGGUGAAUUGCACUGGGGUAAUUUUUUUUUAACCAUUGCUGUUACUGAGCAGAAAACGUAUAAGAGGCUGACAUUUUUCAUCCUAACGCUCGUAUUUUAUUAGUUUAUAUUCAUAACAUCAAUUUUUCAGCCUUUCUUAUCCCUUGUCGUGGGUGUUAGUGUCAAAAAAAUGAAUGAAAUAUGUAGGACGGAGAGCGGUAAGAAAGCAGAUUGCAAUAGACUUGUAGGUGGCUUGGACAGACAGACGGACACAAUGUCUGGAAAUUCUCACAUUAUUCACUUUAAAAGCAGCCUACAUAAUGACCCCGAGUGACUAGACAUCAUCCCGUCUAGAAAUCAACAAUGCUCUGAUUAUAAGCCUGUGGGACAGAAAAUAUCCAUCCCUGUGCAGUUCACCCUCUGUGUCCACUCCGAAACAUCUAAUGACCUGCGUGGUGGGAUGAUUUCUGGGGUUGGUGAGGGGGUUACUGAAGGCAGCGUAUGGUUUAAGUGAAUACAGACGCCAACAGCGUAUGACUGAAACCCCCUGCUGAUGUCUAAUCAUCUCAUGCCUAGAGCAAGAAAGGCGUCUACUGGAGAUAAUGCUUCAUUUAGAAAGCCAAACUGUGGACCACCUGUUGUGGGGUAAAAGCCACAAAGCCGUAUGUACAGGUGAAGAUUGACAGUAAGGCAACUGUUGAUGUAGAGACUGGAGUGCGACGUUGGACUUUUUUAGGGGAGGAUGGAGACAUGAAGCCGGACAGCUUCAGCUGCUUCCAGAUGUCAUCUUUAUCUCCAGCUUCUGUUCAUGACGCGACAGUUUGCCAGCACACCUGUAGCAGAAGAGGGCAGGUGUUAUGAUCACACCAAGACAUCUGUACAAUCAGAAAGUCAUCAUCAAAAGUGAAGCGAGCGACAGACGGACCGUCAGAGAGUUUCAAGGACUUUUCAGAUGUGUGUAACCAAAGUCUACAAGAUCACACUGGAUAUGAAGCUUUAAAUCACCCAUUCCCUGGGCUGAUUUCACUUGAUCACUUUUUGUGGCCUGGAUUGAGUCCCGCAAGCCUCUGAAGGGCGAAUGAAGUUAAGAAGAAUCCAGACUAAAUCAAUCCUGGUCUUGAUCGAUGAGAUCAGUGAUUCAAAGGCCCACCUGGAUUCUACACCUCGACUCUAGAGAAAACUCUACAGAAUAUCACCCGUCCUCUGCCCCUUUGACACUUUGCCUGGAGCAACCUGGAGUUAAGUGCUUCGCUCAAGGGCACAAUGGAGAUGGUUCAUGGCUCACCUCUUGCAGGGAUCAAACAGAAACUUUGAGGAAACUCUGAUGGUUUACUCUGAGAAGAAAAGAGAGGUAAAUAUUCCACAGAAGAACAAUCUAUCAGAUAUCGCCAUUGUACCCUUAAGCGAGCAACCUGGGUCGUUUGAGACAGAAGUGCUAAAUGACUAUUUAAUGUGUUUUAAAGAAGUUCUUCUGCUUGACCAAGGUUUCAUCAUCAUCCUGGGAAGAGUUUCGGGAAUCAAAAUCUCUGCUCAGGGAAGGAAACCCAGUCCUGACCCGCACGUUUCAUGAGUCAUUCUGCCUUGAUCAGUUAUUCCUGGCGUGAUGUAGGCAGUGUAACAGGUGCACAGACACCAUGCUGACAUGUGCUGGCACCCAUCAAAGGGACGUCUUGUAAACCUGUCAGAGUUCGAGGACGCAAGAUCUAUCUUUGCGCCACCACACAAUGGAGACUAAGGCAUCAAUUAAUCCUGAAAUAACCCAAACGGCGAGGCUCAAGCGGCGCAGAAGAAAAAUUCGUAUCGGGAUUUGGAAAAAGCAUGUGGGCGAAAAAUCUUAAAAGCAAGAAAUCAGACCUUGAGUGGAAGCAAAACCAACCACAGAUCUACACGUCACGAUCAGAUCAGCUUCGGAUUAAGCAGGUGGCUCGUUCGUGAUGGUUGUGGGGUUUGAUGGGAGAUUGAAGAAGCACUAAACUUUCUUUGGGAACGUCUCUGACUGUUUGAAGUCUGAAGUGCUUUCAGGACGUCCGAAGUGGACGACAGCAGCGAGAGCGUCUGAAGGCACGGUGACAGAUGGAGAAACAUCAGGCGUUUGUGUUCAUCCAGCACAGCCGUGCGUGUCCCCCGACACAACAUACUCUCAGCUGUGGGCUCUUCCAGAACCUGCUCUCAGAGGAAGAGGAUUUAAAGGGCAACCGGGAAGGAAUCUGACUCCUCAUAAUAUGGGCUCAGCAAGACCUCUGAUCACUAAAUGCCAAGCCGGCUCCUGUCACUGUGCUGUAUGACAGCUUAAUAAUGGCUUUCCCAGGAGUUUGAAGAUGAUGCACUUUUUCUGGAAACUCAUCUAGUGAACGAGUGAACAUGUGGGCCAGACUGACAGGACACCCUGAAGAGAGAGACACAUCAGUUCAGAGUCAUGCUGUCAAUCCAGCACCAACCUGGUGCUCCAGCAUCCGCUGACCUUCGUUCAUCUCCAAGGAUGUGAGAGCUAAGGGAGCAGUUCUCCUCUCCACCUUUGCUCACAGGCGAGUUUUCUUUCUGUUUGAGUCUGUUCAUUAAGCUCUACAGAAACGGCAGGAUAUCGAGUGUCCUGGUGCGUCUUCUGAAAGAUUCCCCAGGGCAACACACCAUCAGAGAUCCCAUUAAUGGAUUUACACUUCAUUAAGCGUUUGACCAAAAUCCAUUUUUAAAAAGAGGCCAUUAUUUAAAAUCAUUUUGGUGUAUUUAAUCUCAAUCUUUGGUGGUGAAC